GGGGGUAUAGCUCAGUUGGCUAGAGCACCUGCUUUGCAAGCAGGGGGUCGUCGGUUCGAAUCCGUCUAUCUCCA
Molecule: transfer RNA, 74 nt
Filed under: Candidatus Cryptobacteroides faecigallinarum
Lineage: Bacteria; Pseudomonadati; Bacteroidota; Bacteroidia; Bacteroidales
Also listed under: 1 other name
Description: tRNA-Ala
Rfam family: tRNA
About the family: Transfer RNA (tRNA) molecules are approximately 80 nucleotides in length. Their secondary structure includes four short double-helical elements and three loops (D, anti-codon, and T loops).
Source: RNAcentral